RNAcentral lists this transfer RNA (58 nucleotides) under Salmo salar (Atlantic salmon). It matches the Rfam family "tRNA", at positions 8 to 63 of the family's 71-position model. From Rfam's summary of the family: Transfer RNA (tRNA) molecules are approximately 80 nucleotides in length. Their secondary structure includes four short double-helical elements and three loops (D, anti-codon, and T loops). Lineage: Eukaryota; Metazoa; Chordata; Actinopteri; Salmoniformes; Salmonidae. The record is from Rfam by way of RNAcentral.
UGGCUCAGUUGGUAGAGCAUGGCGCUUGCAACGCCAGGGUUUUGAGUUCGAUUCCCAC